Molecule: ribosomal RNA, 889 nt
Filed under: uncultured organism
Description: bacterial SSU rRNA
Rfam family: Bacterial small subunit ribosomal RNA
Source: RNAcentral
GCCCUUAGAGUUGAUCCUGGCUCAGAAUGAACGCUGGCGGCAUGGAUUAGGCAUGCAAGUCGAACGGAGUCGCGGAGCUUGCUUUGCGAUUCAGUGGCGAAAGGGUGAGUAACACGUGAGUAACCUGCCCCCGAAUUCGGGACAGCCCCGGGAAACCGGGAUUAAUACCGGAUGGGUUCGGUCGGCCCCAUGGCCUUCCGAGCAAAGAUCCGUCGUUCGGGGAUGGGCUCGCGUCCGAUUAGCUUGUUGGUGGGGUAACGGCCCACCAAGGCGAUGACCGGUAGCUGGUCUGAGAGGAUGAUCAGCCACACUGGGACUGAGACACUGCCCAGACUCCUACGGGAGGCUGCAGUCGAGAAUCAUCCGCAAUGGGCGCAAGCCUGACGGUGCGAUGCCGCGUGAGGGAUGACGGCCUUCGGGUUGUAAACCUCUGUCACCCGGGACGAAGAACGUGACGGUACCGGGAGAGGAAGCCACGGCUAACUACGUGCCAGCAGCCGCGGUAAUACGUAGGUGGCGAGCGUUAUUCGGAUUCACUGGGCGUAAAGGGUCCGCAGGGGGUUUGCCAAGUCCGGUGUGAAAUCUCAUGGCUCAACUGUGAAACUGCAUUGGAUACUGGCGGACUGGAGUGUGCGAGAGGUGAGCGGAAUUCCUGGUGUAGCGGUGGAAUGCGUAGAUAUCAGGAAGAACACCGAUGGCGAAGGCAGCUCACUGGCGCAGCACUGACCCUCAGGGACGAAAGCGUGGGGAGCAAACAGGAUUAGAUACCCUGGUAGUCCACGCUGUAAACGUUGUGCACUAGAUGCAGGCGGAUCUGAUCCCGUCUGUGUCCCAGCUAACGCGAUAAGUGCACCGCCUGGGGACUACGGCCACAAGGCUAAACUCAAAG